Molecule: transfer RNA, 72 nt
Filed under: Camelus bactrianus (Bactrian camel)
Lineage: Eukaryota; Metazoa; Chordata; Mammalia; Artiodactyla; Camelidae
Also listed under: 2 other names
Rfam family: tRNA
About the family: Transfer RNA (tRNA) molecules are approximately 80 nucleotides in length. Their secondary structure includes four short double-helical elements and three loops (D, anti-codon, and T loops).
Source: Rfam by way of RNAcentral
GGGGCUAUAAGUUAGUGGUAAAGCACAUGCUUAGCAUGCAUGAGGUUCUGGGUCCAGUCCCCAGUAUCUCCA